This 484-nucleotide ribosomal RNA is filed under the name uncultured bacterium. RNAcentral describes it as "partial 16S ribosomal RNA". It matches the Rfam family "Bacterial small subunit ribosomal RNA", at positions 30 to 507 of the family's 1533-position model. The record is from RNAcentral.
AUUGAACGCUGGCGGCAGGCCUAACACAUGCAAGUCGAGCGGAUGGAGGGAGCUUGCUCCUGGAUUCAGCGGCGGACGGGUGAGUAAUGCCUAGGAAUCUGCCUGGUAGUGGGGGAUAACGUCCGGAAACGGGCGCUAAUACCGCAUACGUCCUGAGGGAGAAAGUGGGGGAUCUUCGGACCUCACGCUAUCAGAUGAGCCUAGGUCGGAUUAGCUAGUUGGUGGGGUAAAGGCCUACCAAGGCGACGAUCCGUAACUGGUCUGAGAGGAUGAUCAGCCACACUGGAACUGAGACACGGUCCAGACUCCUACGGGAGGCAGCAGUGGGGAAUAUUGGACAAUGGGCGAAAGCCUGAUCCAGCCAUGCCGCGUGUGUGAAGAAGGUCUUCGGAUUGUAAAGCACUUUAAGUUGGGAGGAAGGGCAGUAAGUUAAUACCUUGCUGUUUUGACGUUACCAACAGAAUAAGCACCGGCUAACUUCGUG